Molecule: long non-coding RNA, 3733 nt
Filed under: Taeniopygia guttata (zebra finch)
Lineage: Eukaryota; Metazoa; Chordata; Aves; Passeriformes; Estrildidae
Description: lncRNA (ENSTGUG00000028161.1)
Source: RNAcentral
UGAAUUUAAUUUUGGGGUGGUGGAUAAGAAUUCCACUCUUGUGAUGAAAUUAGAGCCUUUUCAAACACUGAAGGUACAGCCAUGACACAGGUAUUAAAUUCUGGACACAAUUGCUUUAGAAGUUUUUUCUUUUGGUAAACAUGAAUGUUUGAUUUAAUAGUUCUUUCAUCAAAUCAUUGCCUGCUUCUCCCAAAAAACCUGGAUAAAAGCAGAACGUAAAAGGGUGGCAAAGCAGAUGCUCAAAAUAAGCAUCACCUUGUUUUCUCAGCACAGGACAUCAAGUCAGAUACUCACAGCGUGGCAGUCUUUAAGUGAUGCCUGAGGAACAUUUCGCCCCUGGGGGAAACCAAGACACUUCAAAUGGGUAUUAAAUAAACAUUCUCUGGAUUUUUGAUGGUCUAAGGCAAAGGCAUAUAAUACAUAUUUUGGCAACCAAGCAAAUGUCCAUCAUGCAUGGACAUCAUAAAUGCCCUAUGCCUGAAAACUGCAUGUGAGGACUGCAGAUGUGAAUUUCCCAACUUCCAACUGAUUUUCACGGCCCCUUUUUGUUUUCUUAGGUGAAAAAUUAAUGGAGUCACAGUAUAAAACCCCUCAAGAUUAACAACAUGAGCUGAAAACAUCUUUUUGAUAUCUGAAGCUGGACCUUCUAAGCUUAGCAAGAACACUCAUAAAUAAGUUAUAAAAAUAGAAGGAUCUUAAUAGGGCUAAUUAAAUAAUCUGACUUGCUCAAGCUGGUUGAUAGUGUUCAUAUAGGCUGAUACUCUGUCCUGAACAGCCCUCUUAAGUCAUCAAAAACAGGGAGCAGAUCAUAGCCAAGUGCUAGUGCACGCUUCUGUUCCCUUGCUGAGCUUAAGGAAUAUCUUAUCUAUAGACAGAGCUGUGGAAGGUCUAAUUGUUCAAACUCGAGGGGCUGCACCAUGUUCUUUAAUCACUAACUGUGGGAACAUCAUUUACAAAAGGAUGAAAUUAUGCACAUUGUGCAUCAUUUAAUGUCCCUAAUUUAUGCAAGAUAUUUAAAAAUUUAUUUAGUUCAGAACUUCACAUCUAAUUUAUGUAAUACCGCUUUCCUCCAGUGGCCUUAGUCCUUGAUAAAUGCCUACUAGGAAACUGGCUUUCCACAUGAAAACAGAUGUUUUUUGUGGAUGGGGGGAUCAGUUUUGUUUAAUAUUUUUUCUGGGAUUAUUUUUUCUUUUGUUAGGAACAAUUAGGAACAAUGAACAAUUUUAGUGAAAAUCUUUCCAUUUUUAAUGGGAUACAAAUUCAACUGGUUGAUAAUUUUAAAUGAAUACCCUCAGACACAGCAGGUGCUGGUGUGAUAAAAGAUAUCCCCACAAACUCUGCUUUCCCAUCUCACCUCACAAUAAUGCUUUCCAGGGUUUUAACUUGAAGCCUCGUUUUUCCUGCAAGGAUUGCAAAAAGAUCAUGAAAUCUGUUUUCACUACUGUAAGAUCAAAACUAGAAACUUAUAAAUUUUGAGAUGCACACGAGCAGUUGUAUUUAUCUAAUGCAGGUGUGGCUUAGAAGAAGCAUCUUUCAGGCUUGAUUACACACAGAAGGCCACGGCAAAUCUAAGUCUUUGUCCACCUCUGAGCCUGCUGUAUUAACAAAACUUCCAAAAUGAAGACCAAGCAUCACCAGCUUCAACAGGCAGUACAAGAAGGCCUCCUUACCUUACAUAUCAUUUUCAGCUACUGGUUUGGGUGUGUAAAGUGGAGUUAAUUUGGCUUCCUUAAGUGUUGUUUUUCCAUGGAUUCAAUGAGGAAGUACAAAAGUAACCAUUUUUAAAAAGGUAAACCCUUCUACCAAGGAAUGCUGACAAAGCAGAGGAUUUAAGAAAUCCUGUUUUAACUGUUAUUCCAGAAUUACAUCCCAAAUACAAGCCUGUGUAAACACUAUGCACUUCCUGAUCGUGUGUAUAAUAUGCUCACCCCCUGUUUAAGCUACAUUUAAUGGAUGCAAGUUAUUUGCAUUGCACUCCUUCUCAAAACUAUUUUCAUUUUCUACACAGUUUGAGCAUGGAUAGGUACAGAAUCUGUGGUGUUUUAUUUGUUUACCUGGCUUCAGUAAUCUUCUCAAGAAACAUUAAGACACUUAUUUCCUAAGCCUGAUGGAAUAAAUUACUGCCCACGUUCAUUAACAGAAAGAAAGCCACAUACAGGGAAAUGCUAACCCAGUGAGUAAAUACAAUUUUACGGCAUUAGCUGAUAACACAGAACCUCUGCCUAAUGUCUUUAAAGCAAUUAUUUUACCUUAUGAACUCCUUAAUGGCAAGUAACCUACUUCAUCCUCUAAAAACCUUUUCGUUUCUCCCUUAUAGAGAAAUGACAUAUAGCAUGCUAAACUAAAAACUGAGAAAAAUGCCACAGAGUACUGCCAGAUCUUGGAUGUUUUUCUGGUUGUUGAAAUUCAGCACCUUGCAGCCAAAUGAAGCAGUCAGGAGAAUAUCACUCGGGGAGAUAAAUUGCUGACCUCAUGCAAUUUCCUUGGAUAAAGGAAAAAAAGUCAGUGAUGGAACUGCAUGUAAGACCUCACCAGCUCAACCAUGGCUGUCUCAGACAGACCCUCACCUCUCCCAGUUACACACCUUGGUGCUUUAUAAAUUAAUUAAAUAAAGCUCAUUGAGAGAGUUUGUUCAGUAAAAAGGACUAUUAUGCAUGUAAAAACCUCUUCAUUGCUAAUCACACUUGUUGACCCAUAAUGGAAUAGUGCUGAACCCUCCUUGAAGAGUUUGAACUUAAAUCCAGGGCAGGCACAUCACAAAAUAUUUUCCCUGGAAAUCUCCACUAUUCCUGAACUUACAGAUACAUUAUGUUAAGGGUGGGGGGAACAACAUAAAAAUAUAUUCCUAAGAAGCUGCUCUUAACACUGUUGCUUUCCCAUGUUCCAUAUAUGAAUUUAAGAAAGUCCAAAUAAACAAGAUCAACUAAGGAGAAUUUUGGAGGAUAAGUGCAAUACCACAAAAUCACAUUUCUACUACUGAGAAUUGAAUUAUGCUAAAAAAAAAGAACAACUACUUUGUUUAUCAUAUAUGUCUCAGGAAAUACUCAGGUCUUUCAUUAUUUGCUGGCCAAGGGACAGAGGUGCACUGAUCAGUGUUCCUUGGGUAUAGACAGGCAUUAAAAGGAGCCAAAUACACCUGAAUAAAAUUAUAAGGAUUGGUUUUGUCAAAAAAGAAAAAAAAAAAGUCCUAAAUGUCUGUGUUUUGUCCAAAACAUUUUGUCCCAAACUCUGAAAUCUAUUACUAUCUUCCAGUAUUCUUAAAAAAAACAAAACAAAAAAAAAAAAAAAAAAAAAAACAAAAAACAAGCAAAUAGCUUAUCUUUCAAGCAUGGAAAAUUUGAUGUAAUGCUAAGUUUUACCUAUAAACAAGUUUAAAGGUUUGGUUUAUAUGACUUCAUACCCAAUGCUAUGAUGAGCACGUUUAUUGAGGACCUCCUGAGUGUUUUUCAAUACAUGUUCUGCACAGAAGUAAACAGCCAUUUGUGCAGUACAGUUCCCACUCAUUUUCCCUUCCCAUUUCCCCUGUGUUGUCAACUGACUUCUUUAACACUUAUAUAAUCUUAGUCAUAAAAUACCAGAAGUGCAAAAAGUAGUGUAUCAAAACUUUUUUAAUGUCUUAGAGAUGGGAGAGGGGGAGCACAUUAUACUAGGAUGCUAAUUAGAUGGAAAAGGGUGCUAUUGUAUGCUGCAGGGAGAUUUCCCUUGUUUCACUGAAAGGAAAAAAAAAAAAAAA